UUCCCAUGCCGAACACGGAAGUUAAGCUCUUCAGCGCCGAUGGUAGUUGGGGGUUUCCCCCUGUGAGAGUAGGACGUUGCUAGAC
RNAcentral lists this ribosomal RNA (85 nucleotides) under Jeotgalibacillus soli. Lineage: Bacteria; Bacillati; Bacillota; Bacilli; Caryophanales; Caryophanaceae. The record is from RNAcentral.